ACAUUAAUGAGGAGUCCCAUAAUAGGACGAAACGGCCGUCCAGUGC
Schistosoma rodhaini is the source of this 46-nucleotide non-coding RNA. Lineage: Eukaryota; Metazoa; Platyhelminthes; Trematoda; Strigeidida; Schistosomatidae. The record is from Rfam.